UACGAAGGGGGCUAGCGUUGUUCGGAAUUACUGGGCGUAAAGCGUGCGCAGGCGGCUAUCCAAGUCAGUGGUGAAAGCCCGGAGCUCAACUCCGGAACUGCCAUUGAAACUGUUUAGCUUGAGUACGAGAGAGGUGAGUGGAAUUCCCAGUGUAGAGGUGAAAUUCGUAGAUAUUGGGAAGAACACCGGUGGCGAAGGCGGCUCACUGGCUCGUAACUGACGCUCAUGCACGACAGCGUGGGGAUCAAACAGG
This 253-nucleotide ribosomal RNA is filed under the name uncultured Alphaproteobacteria bacterium. Its description in RNAcentral is "partial 16S ribosomal RNA". It matches the Rfam family "Bacterial small subunit ribosomal RNA", at positions 524 to 776 of the family's 1533-position model. Lineage: Bacteria; Pseudomonadati; Pseudomonadota; Alphaproteobacteria. The record is from RNAcentral.